AGAGUUUUCCGCACUGUGUAAACUUGCGGGAUUUCUGAAGACGCUCGAAUAUUGGCAAAGAGACAAAUUUUGGGAUAUCGUAUCAAGGUUUUUGAUACUAUGCCUAGAGAUGUUAGAGACUAGUGCGAUGGGUUUAGGGCAAGAUCUAGGUUUACUCCUGGUUUUAGAGGGUGUGAUGACUAAUUCGACUUACGUAUCCCGUUUCAGUUUCAUCCUGAUUCUGUACCGAUUUAAAGUCCGCGAUACGUUCUCGGCUUAUACGACUUGUAUGGUUGGAACCGAGCAUCUCUC
This 291-nucleotide long non-coding RNA is filed under the name Brassica napus (rape). RNAcentral describes it as "long non-coding RNA (BNAP_LNC011691)". Lineage: Eukaryota; Viridiplantae; Streptophyta; Magnoliopsida; Brassicales; Brassicaceae. The record is from RNAcentral.